AGAGUUUGAUCAUGGCUCAGAUUGAACGCUGGCGGCAGGCCUAACACAUGCAAGUCGAACGGUAACAGGAAGCAGCUUGCUGCUUCGCUGACGAGUGGCGGACGGGUGAGUAAUGUCUGGGAAGCUGCCUGAUGGAGGGGGAUAACUACUGGAAACGGUAGCUAAUACCGCAUAAUGUCGCAAGACCAAAGAGGGGGACCUUCGGGCCUCUUGCCAUCGGAUGUGCCCAGAUGGGAUUAGCUUGUUGGUGGGGUAACGGCUCACCAAGGCGACGAUCCCUAGCUGGUCUGAGAGGAUGACCAGCCACACUGGAACUGAGACACGGUCCAGACUCCUACGGGAGGCAGCAGCGGGGAAUAUUGCACAAUGGGCGCAAGCCUGAUGCAGCCAUGCCGCGUGUAUGAAGAAGGCCUUCGGGUUGUAAAGUACUUUCAGCGGGGAGGAAGGGAGUAAAGUUAAUACCUUUGCUCAUUGACGUUACCCGCAGAAGAAGCACCGGCUAACUCCGUGCCAGCAGCCGCGGUAAUACGGAGGGUGCAAGCGUUAAUCGGAAUUACUGGGCGUAAAGCGCACGCAGGCGGUUUGUUAAGUCAGAUGUGAAAUCCCCGGGCUCAACCUGGGAACUGCAUCUGAUACUGGCAAGCUUGAGUCUCGUAGAGGGGGGUAGAAUUCCAGGUGUAGCGGUGAAAUGCGUAGAGAUCUGGAGGAAUACCGGUGGCGAAGGCGGCCCCCUGGACGAAGACUGACGCUCAGGUGCGAAAGCGUGGGGAGCAAACAGGAUUAGAUACCCUGGUAGUCCACGCCGUAAACGAUGUCGACUUGGAGGUUGUGCCCUUGAGGCGUGGCUUCCGGAGCUAACGCGUUAAGUCGACCGCCUGGGGAGUACGGCCGCAAGGUUAAAACUCAAAUGAAUUGACGGGGGCCCGCACAAGCGGUGGAGCAUGUGGUUUAAUUCGAUGCAACGCGAAGAACCUUACCUGGUCUUGACAUCCACGGAAGUUUUCAGAGAUGAGAAUGUGCCUUCGGGAACCGUGAGACAGGUGCUGCAUGGCUGUCGUCAGCUCGUGUUGUGAAAUGUUGGGUUAAGUCCCGCAACGAGCGCAACCCUUAUCCUUUGUUGCCAGCGGUCCGGCCGGGAACUCAAAGGAGACUGCCAGUGAUAAACUGGAGGAAGGUGGGGAUGACGUCAAGUCAUCAUGGCCCUUACGACCAGGGCUACACACGUGCUACAAUGGCGCAUACAAAGAGAAGCGACCUCGCGAGAGCAAGCGGACCUCAUAAAGUGCGUCGUAGUCCGGAUUGGAGUCUGCAACUCGACUCCAUGAAGUCGGAAUCGCUAGUAAUCGUGGAUCAGAAUGCCACGGUGAAUACGUUCCCGGGCCUUGUACACACCGCCCGUCACACCAUGGGAGUGGGUUGCAAAAGAAGUAGGUAGCUUAACCUUCGGGAGGGCGCUUACCACUUUGUGAUUCAUGACUGGGGUGAAGUCGAAACAAGGUAACCGUAGGGGAACCUGCGGUUG
This 1522-nucleotide ribosomal RNA is filed under the name metagenome. RNAcentral describes it as "bacterial SSU rRNA". It matches the Rfam family "Bacterial small subunit ribosomal RNA". The record is from RNAcentral.